RNAcentral lists this ribosomal RNA (465 nucleotides) under uncultured bacterium. RNAcentral's name for it is "partial 16S ribosomal RNA". It matches the Rfam family "Bacterial small subunit ribosomal RNA", at positions 28 to 507 of the family's 1533-position model. The record is from RNAcentral.
GACGAACGCUGGCGGCGUGCUUAACACAUGCAAGUCGAACGGAAAGGCCCUGCUUGCAGGGUCCUCGAGUGGCGAACGGGUGAGUAACACGUGGGUGAUCUGCCCUGCACUUCGGGAUAAGCCUGGGAAACUGGGUCUAAUACCGGAUAGGAGCCAUUUUUAGUGUGAUGGUUGGAAAGUUUUUUCGGUGUAGGAUGAGCUCGCGGCCUAUCAGCUUGUUGGUGGGGUAAUGGCCUACCAAGGCGGCGACGGGUAGCCGGCCUGAGAGGGUGGACGGCCACAUUGGGACUGAGAUACGGCCCAGACGCCUACGGGAGGCAGCAGUGGGGAAUAUUGCACAAUGGGCGCAAGCCUGAUGCAGCGACGCCGCGUGGGGGAUGACGGCCUUCGGGUUGGAAACUCCUUUCGCUAGGGACGAAGCUUUUUGUGACGGUACCUAGAUAAGAAGCACCGGCUAACUACGUG